This 496-nucleotide ribosomal RNA is filed under the name uncultured bacterium. RNAcentral describes it as "partial 16S ribosomal RNA". It matches the Rfam family "Bacterial small subunit ribosomal RNA", at positions 29 to 507 of the family's 1533-position model. The record is from RNAcentral.
AUGAACGCUGGCGGCGUGCCUAAUACAUGCAAGUCGAGCGAACAGACGAGUAGCUUGCUCCUCUUACGUUAGCGGCGUACGGGUGAGUAACACGUUGCUAACCUACCUAUAAGACUGGGGUAACUUCGGGAAACCGGCUCUAAUACCUGAUAAUAUCUUCAACCGCAUGGUUCCAUAGUGUAUUACGGUUUUGCUGUCUCUUAUAGAUGGAUCCGCGCCGCAUUAGCUAGUUGGUAAGGUAACGGCUUACCAAGGCAACGAUGCGUAGCCUACCUGAGAGGGUGAUCGGCCACACUGGAACUGAGACACGGUCCAGACUCCUACGGGAGGCAGCAGUAGGGAAUCUUCCGCAAUGGGCGAAAGCUUGACGGAGCAACGCCGCGUGAGUGAUGAAGGUCUUCGGAUCGUAAAACUCUGUUAUUAGGGAAGAACAAAUGUGGAAGUAAAUAUGCACGUCUUGACGGUACCUAAACAGAAAGCCACGGCUAACUACGUG